This 862-nucleotide ribosomal RNA is filed under the name uncultured delta proteobacterium. Its description in RNAcentral is "bacterial SSU rRNA". It matches the Rfam family "Bacterial small subunit ribosomal RNA", at positions 61 to 896 of the family's 1533-position model. The record is from RNAcentral. Lineage: Bacteria; Deltaproteobacteria.
GUCGAGCGAGAAAGUCCCCUUCGGGGGGCGAGUAAAGCGGCGCACGGGUGAGUAACGCGUGGGUAACCUGCCCUAGAGUGGGGGAUAACCAGCCGAAAGGCUGACUAAUCCCGCAUACGACCGGCAGACACAAGUCUGCUGGGGAAAGAUGGCCUCUGCUUGCAAGCUAUCGCUCUUGGAUGGGCCUGCGUUGGAUUAGCUAGUUGGUGAGGUAAUGGCUCACCAAGGCUGCGAUCCAUAGCUGGUUUGAGAGGACGACCAGCCACACUGGAACUGAGACACGGUCCAGACUCCUACGGGAGGCAGCAGUGAGGAAUAUUGCGCAAUGGGGGAAACCCUGACGCAGCGACGCCGUGUGAGCGAUGAAGGCCUUCGGGUCGUAAAGCUCUGUCAGAGGGAAAGAAAGGGCCGGAGGAAUAAUACCCUUCGGCAUUGACGGUACCCUCAGAGGAAGCACCGGCUAACUCCGUGCCAGCAGCCGCGGUAAUACGGAGGGUGCAAGUGUUAUUCGGAAUCACUGGGCGUAAAGAGCACGUAGGCGGAUUGGUAAGUCAGGUGUGAAAUCCCGGGGCUCAACUCCGGAACUGCAUUUGAUACUGCCAGUCUUGAGUGAGGUAGAGGGGAGUGGAAUUCCCGGUGUAGAGGUGAAAUUCGUAGAUAUCGGGAGGAACACCAGAGGCGAAGGCGACUCCCUGGGCCUCUACUGACGCUGAGGUGCGAAAGCGUGGGGAGCAAACAGGAUUAGAUACCCUGGUAGUCCACGCCGUAAACGAUGAGUACUAGGUGCGGGGGGGUAUAAACUCCCUCCGUGUCGCAGCUAACGCAUUAAGUACUCCGCCUGGGAAGUACGGUCGCAAGGCUG